AUGGCAGGCGGUGACGUUCCUCUUCUUCGACUACAUCGAUUGAAGUUGAAGGCAUCGAGAUCUGGUGACCACGGGGAAGAUCCCUGGCCUACGUGCCACAAAGACUCGGUCUCGUCGCUUGCGACGACCCACUUCACCGGCUCGAAAAGCAUCUUUGUAUGCAGUGGUGCUCUCCUAUAUCUUGGUAUGGCGGCUGUUUUUAUCUUUUUCCGGCAUUGACAUGGUGGCGGCGGAGGAAUUUGUGGACUAUGUUUCGGCGAGGCACGAGUUUCUGCAAGAGUGGAAUAGUAGUUUUACCUCUUGUGGAAUUCUUUAUGCAAAGUUGCUUGA
This 330-nucleotide ribosomal RNA is filed under the name Triticum aestivum (bread wheat). Its description in RNAcentral is "partial small subunit ribosomal RNA". Lineage: Eukaryota; Viridiplantae; Streptophyta; Magnoliopsida; Poales; Poaceae. The record is from RNAcentral.